RNAcentral lists this transfer RNA (72 nucleotides) under Diaphorina citri (Asian citrus psyllid). It matches the Rfam family "tRNA". From Rfam's summary of the family: Transfer RNA (tRNA) molecules are approximately 80 nucleotides in length. Their secondary structure includes four short double-helical elements and three loops (D, anti-codon, and T loops). Lineage: Eukaryota; Metazoa; Arthropoda; Insecta; Hemiptera; Psyllidae. The record is from Rfam by way of RNAcentral.
GCUCCCAUGGCGUAGUGGUCACUGCGCUCGCCUUGCACGCGGGAGACCCGGGUUCGAUUCCCGGCCGGGUCA